Long non-coding RNA from Chlorocebus sabaeus (green monkey), 4703 nucleotides. RefSeq lists it as uncharacterized. The record is from RefSeq and is a predicted model, not a curated record. NCBI's taxonomy places the organism in Eukaryota, Metazoa, Chordata, Mammalia, Primates, Cercopithecidae.
CCUCUUAGCAUCACCAGAUGAGUCAAACUGUAAACCAGGAAACUUUAGCUGAAGUGGGUGUAUUAGUGAGCAUUCUCCUAAGAAACAGAACCAGUCAAGUGUAUGUGUGUGUGUGCGCAUGUGUGUGUGUGCAUGUGUAUGUGUGUGCGCGUGUGUAUUUAUUUUCAGGAAUUGGCUCAUGCAAUUAUGGAGAUUGAGAAGUCCCAAGAUCCGCCCUUGGCAAGUUACACACCCAGGAGAGCAGAUUGUGUAAGUUCCAGUGUGAAGCCAGCAGGCUUAAGAUCCAUGAAGAGCCAAUGUUUCAGUUCAAGCCUGAAGGCUGGAAAAGGUCAGCUCACACAAUCAGGCAGCUGAAGUUCCCUCUUACCCAGCCUUUCUCUUCUAUUCAAGUCUUCAGUUGAUUAAAUGAGGCCCACCUACGGUAGGGAGGGCAACCUGCUUUUCCCAGAAUUUACUUACCGAAACGUUAAUCUCCUCCAGAAAUAGUCCUUGAAUGCUCUGCCCUUUUGGGGUUGCUGGAGUAAUAGGCAUUUCUCACUGUCACACACGUGGCUUUCACAGUGCAGUGGCAAGGAAAGUAGGCAAGGAAUUCAGGAGGUUGGUUUGAAUCUUAACUAUGAUACCUUCCCUCCCCAACUGGAAAACUUUAGGACUCUCCUGUGCUCCCACAAAACUUUCCUCGUUGGAGAGAGAAGUAGAAAAUGCAGCCUCCCACACGCCAGGCAGAGGGAGUGGUCUCCUGAAGGGGAGGGGAGGUUGAAUUUCUGGAAUGUAAUGUGAGCAAAUCCCCUGUUGUCACAGAUCUAAGGCUUGCAUCUUCCAGUCUGGCAAUGAUGAAGCCCAUUCUCCCUCUGCUGGGCUCAGCUGCUUCUGAGUCAUCUGUCUCAGAAGAGAAGUAUUAUUUAUUGACCUCUAAAAUCUCAUUAGGAGUCACUUCCUAAGUAAAGCAGAGGAUAAGAGCCAAACCCUUUCAAAGUAGUGUUACUCAUAGGGAAUUUACAAAUCACCCCCAUUUCACAGAUAAAGAAACUGAGACCAAGUCGGGGAAAAUGAACAAUUGGCCACAAUAUUCCCAACAGCCCUCUGGAAUUGGCAAUACUUUCGGAUUUUACCAAUGCAGAGCCAAUAAGAGGCAGCACACACCACAGUUGGUGGCACAGCUGAGAUUCGAACAGGCCUCCGGAAUCCUCUGACUACUUUUCUUUCUUUCUACCAUGCCACAGGAGCCAUAGGUGCAAGCUAUAUGACGAAGAGGAAAAAGAGGAGGAGGAGGAUUAAGAGGAGACGGGGAAGGAGGAGGGGGAACAAAACAGGAUCCAAACCUUAGGCUAAAGGGAGGACUCUCAGAUGAGAACCCUGAUGGGAGGUGGGGGUGGAGAACAAUUUUACACCUAAUAUUUAAAGUAGUAAGUAAAGUGGGCCUUGGACCCUCUCUUCCCUUUCUUUUCUCUUCUCCUUUUCUUCCUCUGGGAGACACUAUCUGUUGCCUUUCCAGCAGCUAUUCUAUUUCAUCCAUGCUAAAAAAAAUCUAUUUAAUCCCUGCUAAAAAAAAAAAAAAGUAUUCCAAUAGUGGUCAUUGUCCAGAUGAUGGCUGGAGCUGUGGGCUUGGAGAGGAUUACUCAGGGAAAGGGCUGAACGGUGUGAAGUUAUGGCACCCAGAUAACAAGAAAUUGAGAUUUGAUGGAAGCUGAAAAAUUCCAGGUGUGAAAAAUAUUUCCCCUGACAGAGAAAAGUGAUUUUUGGCACUAGAUGGGGAAGGUGCUGGGAAAGGUAUUUUCAAACUGGAAGCCCACUGAGUACGCUUUGGGAUUAUAACAGUAACUAAAGCAGCUCACAUUGGCCAUUUGAUGUCCCUAGUCUAAGUGUUUUAUAGGUAGUAUUUCAUGUCUUCCUAAAAACUGUGUGAAGCAGGUGCUAUUAUUCCAGUUUUCAGAAGUGGAAAUGGAGGCUGUGAGAGUUUAAGUAGCCUGCCCAGCUACUAAGCAAUAGAGCAGGGUUUAAAUCUGUGCAGUGUGACUCUACAGAAGGGGAAAGAGCAAGUAGGGAGGGAGAGAUGGCAAGUACUAGAGAGCUUGGGGAUGAUUGAUCUAGCAAAGUUCUGGAAGAGAUGGAAAGGGAUGGGAUCAAUAGUCCAGGUGGAGGGGUGCACCUUGGCAAAGUAAAAGAAUGCGUCUUCCUUUGAGACAGGAGGGCGGAUGAAAGGAUAGAUGAUAAUGAUUCACGGAGUCUCUGGGGCGGAGGGAAGAAAGUCAAGGCAGUGCAUAUUACAUGACCUUGGUCUUCCCAGGAAAGUCGCGAGCAACCCACAUAAGUAAAGCUGGUCCUCUUUCUCACGCACUUCCUCUUUUUUUCUUUCUUGCCCAACCCCCUCUUCUUGCUUUAACACAGAAGAAACAACCCAGGUUAUACUCUUUCAUCUAAACUGGACAUUUAUUUGUAAAUGAGGGAUUGGGCUGUUGUUGAAUAAACAGGGGAUAAGUUAACAGAGAUUGCUUGAGAAGGAUUCUGGGAGUUAACAAUGGCUGUGGACAUGUGAAGGAAUAGAAGAGGGGGAAAGGAAGGCCAGAAGAAUUUGAGGCAAACAAGCUACCUUGGAAGAAAGCAACAUACAGAUGAGAAUCAGCCAGAGUUCUGAAGAUUGGGCAGAGCAGAGGAACACCCCCUCCCUAUAACCACCACGAGUUUGUCUUGGAGAAGCCAGAUUAAUAGGAGAUGAUAAAGAUGAGGAGGCUGAAUAGAAGACUCUGAUAGCCUGGAGGAAUAAGAAGCCACAGGUGGAAUGAACGAGAGUUCUGUCACCUGAACAACAAAUACGCUCUUACUGGCCUAUGCCACUAACUUUUGUGCUUGUGGAAGUACUGAACUAAUCUUGAUAAAGUAUAAAGCUGGAGGAGAAAGAAGGUAAGGCUGGUCUGUUUAGGGGCCUGAAAUGGAAGAUUAAAGAAUGUUACUUUAUUUUAAGAAAAAUGGGCUGCUGCAUUCUGCUGAGCAAGAGAGGGGCCUAGUGUUCCAUCAAAACUGCACCCUGGCCUGUGAGAGGGAUUAGAAGGAUCAAGGCUGGUGACUAGAGGUGCUAGAGUAGUAGGAGGCUAUCAUCAUCAUGCAAGGGGGAAGAAGGAGGCCUGGACAGAGAUGGCAGGAGAAAUAGGCUUGAAAGAUGAGAUAGCCAAGAGGCUGAGCAGGAAGGGUCUGCAGAGCAUGGUAUCUGACAAGAUGUGGAGGAUGAGGGAAAGCGUGGAGGGCCAUCGCAAUGGCUUGAAUGUGUUCCCCAAGACAUUAUGUAUUAGAAACUUACUCUCCAGUGCAACAGUUCUGGGACACGGGGUUUAGUGAGAGGUGAUUAGGCCAUGAUGGCUCUGCCCUCAUAAAUGCAUUAAUGCCGUUAUCACAGAAGCAGAUUUGUUAUUGCCGGAGUAGCUUCCUUAUAAAUGGAUGAGUUUGGGCCUCUCUUGCUGUUUGUUGUACCUCUGCCUUCCACCAUGAGAUGACACAGCACGAAGGCCCUCAGCAGAUGCUGACCCCUCAAUCUUGGACUUUCCAGCCUCUAUAAUUGUGAAACUAUAAAUUUUUGUUCAUUAUAAAUUACCCAGUCUAUGGUAUUCAGUUAUAACAGCACAAAACAGACCAAGACAGCCACCAAGAUUAUUGGGAGUCUUGGAGGAAAAGCCAGUUUGGGAGAAAGAUUUUGCCUUCAUGUUGGAAUAUAUGAGCUUAAGCUGGCUGAGAGCUAUGGGAAGAUUCCCAGGUACAACUGGAAAUGUCACCCUGAAGCUGAGGAGAAGACCAGAGCUAGAAGUGACUGUCCAGACUGAAGCCCACCCUGCCUUCCCUGAGCCAAUCUCUAAGACCCCUUAGGAAUAGAUACACCAAAAAGACUCUGAUCCCAGAUGCAGACCUGCAAUCCGGCGUAAAUUCAACUUCACAAUUUUUCAGCAUUCUCAGAGGUAGAAAUGGACUAAAAGAUAGAGUCAAGUUUUACUGGAAAAAAUGCUUGAUGGGUGCUGAGGAGGUGACCCUCAUCGGACAGUGAACCCAAUCUGGUCUCAGUAUUCACGCUUUUGACAAAAAGGAAGAGACAACGGAGAGACACAUUACAGCAUGUGGUUGGUGCAGAAUGACAAUAGGCAAUUCAACCACAAAAGACAGGAAUGUGAUCUUAGCCCUGAGGAGAAGAACAGCAAAUACUCCUUGACUCUGGGUGAAUUUAGAAAUGAAAGAGAAGACACGUGUAAAUUUCACUAGCACUUUCACAGUGAUAAAAGAAAAUACUUUCACAAUAAAUGAGGUGCUACUAAAUAAACGAAUCACUUGAAAUGUACUUUGGGAUAGCUGAGAUAAAUUAAAAAACAGGUUAAAGUAACAUCUGUAUAUUAACAUCGUCAUAAAACGAGUUGGUAAUGGGGAGAGCAUGCAAAGUACUAUGAAACAAUAAUCAGAAACAUUGUGUCAAUGAUUGAAAACCAUGCCAUUUAUUGAGAGGUACUAAGUGUCUAAUGUUUCUGCAACACGUUUUUCCCAACUGGGUUUAUAAGAAGUGUCUAUUCAACGCUGAUAGAUGCCCUUAAAUUCUAUCACAAAAUAACCUGCCUUGGGAAGACUACAUGUUGAAUUGGUUCUUAUGACAUGAUGGCUCAAUGAGUUCUCACUGUCCUAGAGUGGUUGAAUAGCCAUGUUCAUUAGAAGAUAAUAUCUGAUUUCUUGGA